UUUGACCAUAGUCAAAGCGCUCUCAGCCUGGUCCGUCCGGUUCCCGCGAAAAGAAUUAACAAUCGAAACCCAUCCCUUGUUUUGCUCUAAUUUUUCCGCCCACCCAAACAGAAGCGCCGUCGCCUCAGACGCUAACCAAGGCGGAGCUUCAUGACUCUCGACCUACUACAUGAUCAUAGUUGCUCCUCAUAUUUUAUCAGCGGCAGGAUCCCUUUGUUUGGCAGGCUUAAGGUGAUGGUCAUCAGAUUACAGGCUCUGCUGCUCAAAUAUUUCAAAUUGUAAUAUACGAAAUAGAAAGAAAUGGUAGGGGGCAUUUUGAGAAUCAAACCUGGGGUCAGACUUCUUUCUCCUAAUGUGACAAUUAUACUACUAGAUUAGAUGCCUAUAUAUUGAUGCUUAUCAUGUGCCUUUUUUUUUAAUUUUUUAUUAUUAGCUCUUUUCUUUAAGGUUCAAUGACUAAACCUAAGACGGCUAGUGUUUUUAUUGUCUCUCACUUUUGACGUGGUUGAAGGUAUCCUUGUUGCUAGAGUAGGACUCAAAGCAUUUUAAGCAGCAUUUGGACUUUGUUUUGAUUGAAGCUUUUUUAUGUGUUUUAGUAUUGAUGCUAGUUUAUGCUUCAUAAUUCAGGAUAUGCACCAAGUAGAAGAAAAAAAUUUGUUGGUUAUGUAUUUCUGGUACAUACGCAGUUUUGUUUAUUUAUUGAUGACUUAUCUGUCGAAGCAGUAACUAGAUUGUUAGCCAGUUCUUUUGCUGUUGGAAUACUUACCUUAGUACUUAAAAGAAUGGUUGAUAGAUGAGCUUACUGAACAAUUAGUCAGUUAUGCAACAAUCUGAUUACAAAUGUUAUGUCUAAAAGACCUUUUGUUUUUGGGGCUCUGCAAAGUUGAAUGCCAAAGUCUUCUAUGCAUACAGGAGGUGAAGGUGCUUGCUAAAGUCAUUUGCUAGUUCUACUUACUUACUAAGGAGCUAGGCAUAUUGAGAAUUGAACUCGGGACAUCUCGCACCCAAAGCGAGAAUCAUACCACUAGGCCAAAUGCCCAGUUUUCUAUGUUUAUAACGUUCUCAUUUCUAAUUACCAGCUUUUCUCUUAAAGGUCCUCUUUAACUUUUUAUGGACUCAUCUGCAGAGAACUAAUGUUUUAUGUCUUGCUUUUGAUGUGGUUUCAAGAUAUCAUUUCCUUGCUAGAGCAGUGUUCCGAAGGCUUUUAUAAUAUCAUUUGGACCUUGGUUUGUUCGAACUUUUGCCUAUGCUUAGCAUUGAUGUUGGUUAUAGUUCAAAAUUCAGGAUAUGGACCAACUAGAAAAACAGAUACAGAUUAUGAAUUUUCUGGAAUUUAUGCACUUUUACAUGUUUUUUUUUUUUUGAUAAUUUAUUGUCUUUCUUACAAGUUAAUAUACUGUUAUCAAGUUGUGUUAUGCUGUUAUCAUACUUAGCUUAGCACUUAAAGAUGAGCUUAGAGGACAAUCAGGCAUUCGUGCAACAACCUAAUUGCAAAAUGUCAUCUUCUAAUAAUCUUUUGUAUUUGGGUUCUGCAAGCUGAAUGAAAAAGUCUUCUAUUGGUAGAAGAUGUGAGAUGCUGCUGUUACCUACUUUAGCUGCUAAAGCCAUUUGGUAAUUUUUCUAAGGACCUAGAAAUGAAUCCCACAUCCACCAUGGUUGGGGGAGCUACCCAACUCUGUCUAGCUCAGUCAUUGCUAUAAAAAAAUGAGUCUUGUGUUUACAAAAACACAUAUAUGAGUCUCACACUGUGAAAAGAAAGGGAAAAACAUGGUUACCUUUUUUAUUUAGUAAUUGUGCUUCCUUCAAAUUGGUUGUUGAUUAAGUAUAAACCUGCUAUUGAAAUAUAUGUUUACUACAAGCUUGUGUGGUGCCCUACUUUGGCAGCGUAAUGCUAGAAAGAAAAUUUUCCCUGGUACUUUGAGAUCUCAGGUAUGAAAGUAGCUUGCUCACAUAAAAAAAACCAUACAAUCAGCUUUAUUGUUUUUGUUUUUUUUUUUUGCAAUUCAAUGCUGGAAAAUCUGGUCAGAGAAAAUUAACACCUGAAAGCUUACUUCAGGCCAGAUUCCCUGACCAAAUAUAUCAAAAAUUGUAGCACAAGAUACUAAAAAGAAACAAGGUCUGGGGCAUUCCGAGAAUCGAACUCGGGACCUCUCGCACCCAAAGCGAGAAUCAUACCACUAGACCAAAUGCCCAGUUGAUAGCUAUGGGGUGUUUUUAAUAUAAUUAUGAGGUAUCUUCUCCAAGGAUUCCUGCUAAUAUUAACUAACUGGACUCAUCCCAAGAGCACCAAUGUUUUAUUUGCUAGAGUGGGGUGCUGGAGGCUUUUAAAUUGGAUUUAGACUUGAGCUUUUGUUGAAGCUUUUUGCCAUUAUUAAAUAUUGAUGAUGGUUUAUACUACUUAAUUCAGGUUAUGGAUCACUAAGAAAACCAGGCAGUUAUGGGUGAUGAAUAUUAGACAAUUAUGCAUUCUUUCCUUUGUUUAAUGAUUACGUCUAGAUUGUUUUGUGGGCUGUUCUGCUAUAGAAAUACAUGGUUAAGUGCUUCAAAAUGAUUAAAAGAUUGGCAUACAGGACAAUUAACUAUGCAGGAAUCUUUUGCAAAAUGCCAUGUCCUAGUAACCUUUUCUCUAUGGGGCCUGCAAGAUGAGUAUUAAAAUCUUCCAAUCAUACAAGUGGAGCUAACUGCUUUAGAGGGUAAAGUUCAUUCACCAAUUGUUCUCACCUUGGUUCUUAUCCUGCCUUCACUAUGAGUUGGAGAGUAUGGUUGCAAGAGCAGAGGCUUAAGGAAAGGAAAGUUCUAUUCCACAGUCUGUAGCUUGGUCAUUGAGUCAGAAUGAUAAACAAAAACUUCUCAUCUGGAGGCAGAAAAUUUCUUUUCUAUUAGCCAAUUUUGCUUAUCUUUUAUUUAUGUUUUUUUGUUAAUUAAGUUUUUUAACCUGUUCUUCAGAACUAUGUUCAUUCCAUUGUUAUGUGGUGCCCUUUAUUUUUCAGGGUUAAGGCAAAUUUCUUUUUUCUAAUGACUACAGUUGCAGGAUUUAUGUUAAAAUUCAGUGGUACAUCCCAAGAGGACCAAGGUUUUGCACUGUCUCUCUUUAUGCUUGUAUUAUUUCCUUGCUAUGGUGGGUGCUAGAGGCUUUCAAAAUUUGAUUUCUACUACAAUAUUGAUACUGGUUGAUACUUCUUAAUUCAGAAUAUUGAUCAACUAGAAGCCUAAACAUCCAUGGGGUUAUGAUUGUCCUAGGGGUUUUUUUUUGAUGAAAUAUGUGACCCUGAAAACAUACUUUGCAAGUUAUAAUGCUGUAAGAAUAUUUAUAUUAAACUGCAGAAAUGGUUGAAAAAGAGCCUAGACAACAAUUAGGCAGUUUGUGGCCCAAAGAAAAAAAAAAUUAGGCGGUUCUGCAUAAAUCAGAUCACAAGAUAAAAUGUCAUAAUAACAUGUUUUUUGUGGGGCCUUUCAGGUUGAAUGCUAAAAUAUUUUAUUGAUAUGAGAAGUGCUGAUUAGUUUAGCUGGUAAGGUUUUUGGUAGUUGAAUUCUUCCUUCAACGUGGAAAGGGAGUGGGGAGAUGGGAGGAGAAAUAUAGGGAAGGGGAAAGCUAAUCCCAUGUAUUUUAGCCUGGCCAUUAGAUCAAGAUCAAAGAAAAGCAGUAGUCUUGAAUUGAUAGAAAAGAUGAAAACUCACUGAGACAAGGAAAAUGUAUUUGGCUUUUCUAGUCACUGAUUUUGCUUGUCUAUAAAUAAGAAUUGUCAGUUAAGUAUUUUCAUCUGCUCUUCAAAUGUGUAGAUUCUAAGUGUUCUUGGUGCCCUUUGCUUGGCAGGUUUAAGGUGGAUUUCUUUUUUUUCUAAUGACUAUGAGAUUAAAGGUACGAGGAUAGCAUGUUCUUCUUGAAAGUAGCGCAACUUUUAAUAUAUUUUUUUAUUUUAAAAUUUUGCAAUUCACUGCUGAGGAAUCUUAAGAAAACAAAUGAAUCUGAAGUUAAAUAAGCUCCUAAUUAUGCUUUUGAAGUUAACCUCAGGGCCAGUAUAGGAACUAAAAAGGAACAAGGAAUGUGGCAUUCCGAGAUUCAAACUCAGGAACUCUUGCACCCUAAGCGAGAAUCACACCGCUGGAUCAAAUGCCUAAUAUUUAAUGUUUAUCAUGUUUAAUUUUUAUUUUUCUUGAUCUGCUAAACAGAUUUCUGUUAAUUUUUGUAGGACUUGUUGCAAGAGGAGCAAUGCUUUCUGGUCUUUCACAUUGAAUGCAGUUCAAUGUAUCAUACUGCUGCUGAAGUGGGAUGCCAGUGGGUCUUAAAAAUGCAUUCGAACUUUGGGUUUGACCGAAGCUAUUUUUUUCUAAGCACAGUACUUUUGGUUAAUUGCUUGACCUUUUCUGUCCAUAUAUUUUUGCUUGCCUAUAAAUAGUUGUUGGUUAAAUAUUAAUGCCUGCUCUUGAAAUGUAUAUUCAUUCUGUAUAUUUGUUCCCUUUUGUUUGGCAGGUUUGAGGCAGAUUUCAAUUUUCUGAUGGCUACAAUAUUAAAGAUGGGAGACCUCGGGAUUGCCAGGAGAUCUAGGGAAGGAGGAGGGCUGUCUCACAUGGUGUGGCCCAGCCAUUGAAUCAGAAAUGGAAGAGAAAAGCCUUGCAUUGAUAAAAUGGCAUAAAUUCUCACAGAGCAGAAAAGAAAUUGGUGUGUUUGGCUUUCCGUUCUCUAGUUUUGCUUUCUUCUAGUAGAUGUUGUUACUAAAACAUGUUAUUGUACGCUUAAAAUGUAUGUUUGUACAGUACGUAUGCAGUGCCUUCUCUUCGGCUGGGUAAGGUGGAUUUUGUUUCUUUCGUUGUGGCAAUGAGAUUACAGGUUUGGGGAUAGCUUGCCUCCCCUGAAAGUUAAUUCAUACUUGUUUAUGUAUUUACAUUUUUCAAGGAAUCUUGUCAAAAAAAAAAAAAAAUAGUCUGAAGUCAAUAAAAUCUUAUAUUAUAAUUUUAAAGUUGACUUCAGGCUAGAUCUCACACCAACUUCAGGCUAGAUUCCUUUAAUGUGAGAUUUUAAAUUCUACAAUGAAAAGAAAAAGGAGGUUGGGGCAUUCCGAGAAUCGAACUCGGGACCUCUCGCACCCAAAGCGAGAAUCAUACCACUAGACCAAAUGCCCAGCUUUUGAUGCUUAUCAUGUUUAUUUUAUAGUAAUAAGCUCUUUUCUUUAAAGUAUUCAUGUUAAUAUCCAAUCUACUCAUCCUUAGGAGAUUCAUGUUAAUUUUCUGUCUACUUAUCCUUAAAAAGACCAAUGUUCUAUGGUUUGUAGAUGAUUAUGCAGUUUAAUACUUCCUCCGUCUUAUUUUCUUUGUCUAUCUUUUCUUUUUAAGAUGUCUCAAACAAUGUCUUCUUUCCUUUUUUAAACACCUAAAAGUCUUUUUCUAUAUUCCAAAAUUAUUUUUCAUAAUAUGUUUUUUACUUUUUGACAUUAAAAACCAUGGAAUAUCAAUUUUAUAAAAAAGGUUUAAAGUUUGAUAAAUUAUGUGAAAGUCAAAGAGGGACAUACAAUUUGGGAUAAUGAGAGUAUAUUGUUUUCCCUGCUAAAGUUGGAUACCAAAGGCUUUUAGGAUUGAAUUUGAACCUUGGUCAGGUUCAUAGCUUCUUUGUUUAUGCAUGUUUCUGACGCUGGUUUAUACUUGUUGCAGCUAUGAUCCUAGCUUGUCACUUUGAUAUAAAACUUGCCUAUGCUUAAAAUCUCCUAAAGUUUGUGGCAAAUUGUAGUCUCAGGAAAGGAAUAUUUCUCUGGUGUUGCUGGGGUAUUUAUAUCUUAGUCUCUUUGUUGACUUCCAGGCCAGGAUUUAUUUUGAUCAGAGUUUUAGCUGUAACCUUGGGAAUUGAAGAUGAAAAGUCAUAUUUUAAUGUCUGAGUUGACUUUCCUGGCAAUAUUAUAUCUGCUCAACAGUUGGAGUGGUUAAACUUGUUUGUGAAAAUGCUUUCCAGGUGGACAGUAUUGGACGUUUUUCAUGUUAGUUUUUAUCUAUUAGUUGUUCUCUCCAAAGGAUUCCUGUUAAUUUUCAAUUAACUCAUCCCAAGAUGGACAGUUGCUCUCCGGUCUUCUCUUUUGAUGUAGUUCAGUGUAUUUAUCACUGAGAGGCUUUUAAAAUUGUAUUUGUAUCUUGGUUUGGGUUGAAGCUUUUUGUCUAAAGGUAGUACUAAUGAUGGCUUAUGCUUAAUUUAGGAUAUAGAUGAAAUAGAAGACGAAUCUUUUACAAAUUAUGAAUUUUCCGGAUUUUUUUUAUUAUUUUCCCUUCAUUUUGAUGAACUGUCCGACCAAUUCUGCUGUUAGAAUAUUUAACUUAGUAAUCGUAAAAUGAUAUAAAGUUUUAGUUUGCAGGGAAAAAAGAAAAAGAAAAGAAAUCUGAUGAGAAAGUUUGUCUUUUAUUCUCUUGCUUUUCAAAUAUAUGUUCAUUCUAUAAAAUGGGGUGCUCUUAAUUCUGCAGGAUUAAGGCAGAUCUUUUUCUGAAGACGGGGAUUACAGGUAUGAGAUAGCUUACCUACCUCAGAAAAUGGAACAUACAUCCUAAUGUUUAUUUAUUUUGUUUAUGUAUAUGCAACUCACUGGUAGGGAAGCUUGUCAGAAACAGACAAAUCUAAAAGUCAGUAACAAUAUGUGGUUGCACCAUCAGCCAACAGGGUUUGUUCAUGUGCUCAAAUGUUUUACUACAUUAUAAAAAGUGGUUGGGGCAUUCCGAGAAUUGAACUCGGGACCUCUCGCACCCUAAGCGAGAAUCAUACCACUAGACCAAAUGCCCAGUCUUGAUGUUCAGUAUCUAUUUAUUGGUAUAUUCUCUGCAAGAAUAUGCCUACCAACUUUGGAUGGACUCAUAUCUAGACGUCCAAUGACAUGUAGUCACCUGUGUCAUUCCCUGCCACCUCUUAAAAUUGUUUGAAGCUUUUCAUCUAAAAUGGCAAGGGCACCUCCACCGUUGUGGCAUCCAAGGAAUUUGAUAUUUUGUGCCCUUUUCUUUUCCUAGACACUACAGAAUUCGGCACGUUACUCUUUAUCUUGCUUUGUUAACGUAAUCUGUUGGAUCUUUGUUUAUAAAAGAGUGAUUUAUAAUGAAUGCAAUGAUUUGUUAUUCAAGAGAAGCUUGAUGCCUUCCCAUAAGCCCCUCCAAUUUGCAUCUGCUUAUUGUUCCCUGUUGAGCCUAUCAAUCAUCCUCCUAAAGAAAUCCAUUUUGAGCAUCGUCUAUUUCUGAAUUCGAAACAAUGUUCCCGUGGUGCGUUUGAGCAACUUAGCCAAUGGACUCUGUUGAUAGUCAAGAUUUUCAUAAACCAUAAUUAAGUCUCCAUCUAUUCUAAGUAUUAGCUUUGCCCUCCACUUUGCACCCCCAAGAAAACUCAUUCAACCCCAGAAGGGCCACCAUUACAAAAUAUUAAUACUUUGCUCAUUCUGUCAGUCGGUACUAUUCAAUCUGUUAAAAAAAAAAAAA
Molecule: non-coding RNA, 7434 nt
Organism: Theobroma cacao (cacao)
Lineage: Eukaryota; Viridiplantae; Streptophyta; Magnoliopsida; Malvales; Malvaceae
Source: RefSeq, a predicted model, not a curated record